GAUGGGGUCAGCUAAUUAAGCUUUUGGGCCCAUACCCCAAAAAUGUAGGUUUAAACCCUUCUCUUACCA
RNAcentral lists this transfer RNA (69 nucleotides) under Cranoglanis bouderius. RNAcentral describes it as "tRNA-Met". It matches the Rfam family "tRNA". Rfam says of the family: Transfer RNA (tRNA) molecules are approximately 80 nucleotides in length. Their secondary structure includes four short double-helical elements and three loops (D, anti-codon, and T loops). The record is from RNAcentral. Lineage: Eukaryota; Metazoa; Chordata; Actinopteri; Siluriformes; Cranoglanididae.